This 424-nucleotide ribosomal RNA is filed under the name uncultured bacterium. Its description in RNAcentral is "bacterial SSU rRNA". It matches the Rfam family "Bacterial small subunit ribosomal RNA", at positions 355 to 776 of the family's 1533-position model. The record is from RNAcentral.
UGAGGAAUAUUGGACAAUGGGCGCAAGCCUGAUCCAGCCAUGCCGCGUGCAGGAAGAAGCAUCUAUGGUGUGUAAACUGCUUUUGUACAGGAAGAAACACUCCCUCGUGAGGGAGCUUGACGGUACUGUAAGAAUAAGGAUCGGCUAACUCCGUGCCAGCAGCCGCGGUAAUACGGAGGAUCCAAGCGUUAUCCGGAAUCAUUGGGUUUAAAGGGUCCGUAGGCGGUUUAAUAAGUCAGUGGUGAAAUCUGGUCGCUCAACGAUCAAACGGCCAUUGAUACUGUUAGACUUGAAUUACUAGGAAGUAACUAGAAUAUGUAGUGUAGCGGUGAAAUGCUUAGAUAUUACAUGGAAUACCAAUUGCGAAGGCAGGUUACUACUAGUGGAUUGACGCUGAUGGACGAAAGCGUGGGGAGCGAACAGG